UACGGAGGGUGCAAGCGUUGUUCGGAAUUAUUGGGCGUAAAGGGCAGGUAGGUGGUCUUGUAAGUCUACUGUGAAAUCCCUGGGCUUAACCCAGGAAGUGCGGUGGAUACUGCAAGACUAGAGUGCCGGAAGGGUGCGUAGAAUUCUCGGUGUAGCGGUGAAAUGCGUAGAGAUUGGGAAGAACACCGGUGGCGAAAGCGCUCUGCUGGGCCGCAACUGACACUAAUGGACGAAAGCUAGGGGAGCGAAUGGG
RNAcentral lists this ribosomal RNA (253 nucleotides) under uncultured bacterium. Its description in RNAcentral is "partial 16S ribosomal RNA". It matches the Rfam family "Bacterial small subunit ribosomal RNA", at positions 524 to 776 of the family's 1533-position model. The record is from RNAcentral.